AUCGCUUCUCGGCCUUUUGGCUAAGAUCAAGUGUAGUAAAUGAGAAACUGAUUUUGUUUAUUCAAAGUAUACUUGAGGAACAAAUGCAAAGUGAAAACUCUCACUUUUACCAAAUUAAUUUGGUAAAAAUUAAUCAAA
This 138-nucleotide small nuclear RNA is filed under the name Nomascus leucogenys (northern white-cheeked gibbon). RNAcentral describes it as "U2 spliceosomal RNA". It matches the Rfam family "U2 spliceosomal RNA". From Rfam's summary of the family: U2 is a small nuclear RNA (snRNA) component of the spliceosome (involved in pre-mRNA splicing). Lineage: Eukaryota; Metazoa; Chordata; Mammalia; Primates; Hylobatidae. The record is from Rfam by way of RNAcentral.